GAUGAACGCUGGCGGCGUGCCUAAUACAUGCAAGUCGAGCGAACAGACGAGGAGCUUGCUCCUCUGACGUUAGCGGCGGACGGGUGAGUAACACGUGGAUAACCUACCUAUAAGACUGGGAUAACUUCGGGAAACCGGAGCUAAUACCGGAUAAUAUAUUGAACCGCAUGGUUCAAUAGUGAAAGACGGUUUUGCUGUCACUUAUAGAUGGAUCCGCGCCGCAUUAGCUAGUUGGUAAGGUAACGGCUUACCAAGGCGACGAUGCGUAGCCGACCUGAGAGGGUGAUCGGCCACACUGGAACUGAGACACGGUCCAGACUCCUACGGGAGGCAGCAGUAGGGAAUCUUCCGCAAUGGGCGAAAGCCUGACGGAGCAACGCCGCGUGAGUGAUGAAGGUCUUCGGAUCGUAAAACUCUGUUAUUAGCGAAGAACAAAUGUGUAAGUAACUAUGCACGUCUUGACGGUACCUAAUCAGAAAGCCACGGCUAACUACGUG
This 497-nucleotide ribosomal RNA is filed under the name uncultured bacterium. RNAcentral describes it as "partial 16S ribosomal RNA". It matches the Rfam family "Bacterial small subunit ribosomal RNA", at positions 28 to 507 of the family's 1533-position model. The record is from RNAcentral.